GAUGAACGCUGGCGGCGUGCCUAAUACAUGCAAGUCGAGCGAACAGACGAGGAGCUCGCUCCUCUGACGUUAGCGGCGGACGGGUGAGUAACACGUGGAUAACCUACCUAUAAGACUGGGAUAACUUCGGGAAACCGGAGCUAAUACCGGAUAACAUGUUGAACCGCAUGGUUCAACAGUGAAAGACGGUUUUGCUGUCACUUAUAGAUGGAUCCGCGCCGCAUUAGCUAGUUGGUAAGGUAACGGCUUACCAAGGCAACGAUGCGUAGCCGACCUGAGAGGGUGAUCGGCCACACUGGAACUGAGACACGGUCCAGACUCCUACGGGAGGCAGCAGUAGGGAAUCUUCCGCAAUGGGCGAAAGCCUGACGGAGCAACGCCGCGUGAGUGAAGAAGGUCUUCGGAUCGUAAAACUCUGUUAUUAGGGAAGAACAAAUGUGUAAGUAACUAUGCACGUCUUGACGGUACCUAAUCAGAAAGCCACGGCUAACUACGUG
This 497-nucleotide ribosomal RNA is filed under the name uncultured bacterium. RNAcentral describes it as "partial 16S ribosomal RNA". It matches the Rfam family "Bacterial small subunit ribosomal RNA", at positions 28 to 507 of the family's 1533-position model. The record is from RNAcentral.